AUAUACACUCAAAAAAAGGAUAUUGGCUGGUUGUUACAUUUACUAAUGUGUAACAUGUAGAAUGAACGAUAUUCAUUAAUGUUUUCAAUGUGAACGUGAUUCAGUCAUGUAGGAUUGGCAUGAACUUCAAAAACGUAACGUUUAUUAGAUCCAUUCAUGUUGCGAUUAACUGAGAGAAUCGAGUAGCCAGGCAUGACCGCGAAAACCAAGGCGAAGGCAGUCUUCGUCAGAACCAGAUUAAGAAGAUACACCGUUGGCCGCACAUGGAAAAGCAAUUUCUGACUGCAAAAGUGUCCUGUGUCUGCUAUCCCCCAAAGUGUGUCUUGGAUCAACCUCACUGACUACACCAUCCCACUACAAGUCUCCUGGAAUUCAAGAGAAUCACAACAAUCAAUUUGCAGUCAAAGUUCUUCUCCCAGCUGGAUCUGUACUCUGAAAACCUGAUCCAGGUGUAUGCCAAGAAAAGUGGAGUUCAAGGGAGAAAGAUCAAGAGCAUCAUGGUACCCAUAACCCAGACUGCCAGCAUUGACGUCAGACGAGAAUGCGUCCUCAAAGGUCUAUGUGUUUACUUGAACGAAGAUCCAGAGAAGCUGGUGAAGGAAUACACGAAUAUUGAAAGCAGUCAAACAGCUAUGGCGGAGACAGUCUUUGCGAUCCAUGUGAUUCGAAAAGAAGGAGCGGAGCCGAGUGAUGACCCAGAUGAAG
This is a long non-coding RNA of Pungitius pungitius (ninespine stickleback), 705 nucleotides long. RefSeq lists it as uncharacterized. The record is from RefSeq and is a predicted model, not a curated record. NCBI's taxonomy places the organism in Eukaryota, Metazoa, Chordata, Actinopteri, Perciformes, Gasterosteidae. The transcript has 4 exons.